RNAcentral lists this non-coding RNA (210 nucleotides) under Bacillus gaemokensis. RNAcentral's name for it is "T-box sequence". It matches the Rfam family "T-box leader". Rfam says of the family: Uncharged tRNA acts as the effector for transcription antitermination of genes in the T-box leader family. T-boxes are found upstream of many aminoacyl-tRNA synthetase genes and some amino acid biosynthetic genes usually in Gram-positive bacteria. Lineage: Bacteria; Bacillati; Bacillota; Bacilli; Caryophanales; Bacillaceae. The record is from RNAcentral.
UAAAAAUCAUUGACGGGAACUAGUACAUAAUUUUUCUUGCGCAAGAGAUUGGAAUUCAUAGGCUGAAAGAUUCCUCGUAAAGAAAUUAUGGAACCUAUCCCUGAGUCUUAAACGAAAGUUUAGGCGUAUGCCUGCGUUACAGGUGGAAAGCGGAUAUGAAUUAUAUCAAUGAAGGUGGUACCGCGGAACAAUGACUGUUUCGUCCUUUUU